GUAGGUGAACGUGCGGAAGGAUCAWUA
RNAcentral lists this ribosomal RNA (27 nucleotides) under Inocybe atrorubripes. Its description in RNAcentral is "partial small subunit ribosomal RNA". Lineage: Eukaryota; Fungi; Basidiomycota; Agaricomycetes; Agaricales; Inocybaceae. The record is from RNAcentral.